CCUACGGGCGGCAGCAGUGGGGAAUAUUGCACAAUGGGGGAAACCCUGAUGCAGCAACGCCGCGUGAGUGAAGAAGUAUCUCUGUAUGUAAAGCUCCAUUAGCAUGGAAGUAGAAAGACGGUACCUUACUACUUAGCCUCGGCUAACUACGUGCCAGCAGCCGCGGUACUACGUAGGGGGCAAGCGUUAUCCGGAUGUACUGGGUUUAAAGGGAGCGUAGACGGCUGUGCAAGUCUGAAGUGAAAGCCCGUGGCUCAACCGCGGAACUGCUUUUGAAACUGUAUAGCUUGAGUACUGGAGAGGCAGGCGGAAUUCCUAGUGUAGCGGUGAAAUGCGUAGAUAUUAGGAAGAACACCGAUGGCGAAGGCAGCCUGCUGGACAGAAACUGACGUUGAGGCUCGAAAGCGUGGGGAGCAAACAGGAUUAGAUACCCUGGUAGUC
This 441-nucleotide ribosomal RNA is filed under the name uncultured bacterium. RNAcentral's name for it is "partial 16S ribosomal RNA". It matches the Rfam family "Bacterial small subunit ribosomal RNA", at positions 338 to 795 of the family's 1533-position model. The record is from RNAcentral.